RNAcentral lists this ribosomal RNA (538 nucleotides) under uncultured rumen archaeon. RNAcentral describes it as "bacterial SSU rRNA". It matches the Rfam family "Archaeal small subunit ribosomal RNA", at positions 127 to 667 of the family's 1478-position model. The record is from RNAcentral.
UAAGCUCGGGAAACUGAGAAUAAUGCCCCAUAGUCCACUACGCCUGGAACGGUGAGUGGAUUAAAGCUCCGGCGGCAUAGGAUGGGCCUGCGGCGUAUCAGGUUGUAGGGGGUGUAAUGUACCCUCUAGCCAUCCACGCGUACGGGUGUUGGGAGACAUUGCCCGGAGAUGGAUUCUGAGACACGAAUCCAGACCCUACGGGGUGCAGCAGGCGCGAAAACUUGGCAAUGCGAGAAAUCGUGACCAGGGAACUCCAAGUGGCAGGGGUAAGACCCUGUCUUUUUCCGACUCUAAAUAGGUCGGCGAAUAAGGGGUGGGUAAGGACGGUGCCAGCCGCCGCGGUAAUACCGGCGCCUCAAGUGGUAGUCGCUUUUAUUGGGCCUAAAACGUCCGUAGCCGGUCUGGUACAUUCGUGGGUAAAUCAACUCGCUCAACAAGUUGAAUUCUGCGAGGACGGCCAGACUUGGGACCGGGAGAGGUGUGGGGUACUCUCACGCUAGGGGUAAAAUCCUGUCAUCCUGAGAGGACCACCUGUUGC